CCAAGAAUGCUAUGGAAAAGCUUCCCUCUGACUCAAGAUGUUUCUAUCCUGAAGUUGUCGAAAGAGGAACUAGUUUCUGAAGCUAGAUUUUGGGGAGCAUUUGGGUUAUAUUCGAUUUUAACAAUGGUUUACCUUGUUGUGGGGCUGAGUGGAGGUUUCUUGACAUUUGUUAUGUCAGCAUUCAUGCUUCUUGCUUGGAUUUCCUUUCGCCUUUCUAUGAAGUCAUUUAUUGUUGGAUCAUUUAGGUCAACUGCAUGUUAUGUGAUCCCUCUCAUUCCUUGUAUAAUGUACAUGGUGUAUUUUGGCGGAUUUCUUGUUGCUUUUGUGAUUGAAAAAAUGGGCAUGACAGGCUCACUCCCCCCACCUUUUGGUUACUUCAUUCCUGAUGUUAUAGUGGCAGCAAUUAUUGGACUGGUGACUAGUUGGUCUGUUGGACCUAUUUUGCCUGUUGUGG
RNAcentral lists this unclassified non-coding RNA (454 nucleotides) under Hevea brasiliensis (rubber tree). The record is from RNAcentral. Lineage: Eukaryota; Viridiplantae; Streptophyta; Magnoliopsida; Malpighiales; Euphorbiaceae.